Molecule: ribosomal RNA, 261 nt
Filed under: uncultured Leptotrichia sp.
Lineage: Bacteria; Fusobacteriati; Fusobacteriota; Fusobacteriia; Fusobacteriales; Leptotrichiaceae
Description: partial 16S ribosomal RNA
Rfam family: Bacterial small subunit ribosomal RNA
Source: RNAcentral
UGGCGGACGGGUGAGUAACGCGUAAAGAACUUGCCCUUUAGACUGGGAUAACAGAGGGAAACUUCUGAUAAUACUGGAUAAGUUAGUAUAUCGCAUGAUAUGCAAAUGAAAGCUACGGCACUAAAGGAGAGCUUUGCGUCCUAUUAGCUAGUUGGUAAGGUAAGAGCUUACCAAGGCGAUGAUAGGUAGCCGGCCUGAGAGGGUGGACGGCCACAAGGGGACUGAGAUACGGGCCCUUACUCCUACGGGAGGGCAGCAGAU